Long non-coding RNA from Chrysolophus pictus (golden pheasant), 212 nucleotides. The record is from Ensembl. Lineage: Eukaryota; Metazoa; Chordata; Aves; Galliformes; Phasianidae.
ACGUGGCGGUCGCCGUGAGGCGGGGCCGCGCGCGCUCCUGGCGUCAGCGGGAGGCGGGCGCGCUGUAGCUGUUACGGCUGAGGGUCCUAUGCUGUUGUAAACCUUGCUGCUGCUUGGUAUGGAGAAGACUUACAUCACUGAUUCGACUACUUUAGGAUUGUUUUUGUGCUCUGACAAGCUAGGAAUGACUAUGGAUCCUGAGAUUUGUUGAC